GAAAUGCGAUAAGUAAUGUGAAUUGCAGAAUUCAGUGAAUCAUCGAAUCUUUGAACGCACAUUGCGCCCGCCAGUAUUCUGGCGGGCAUGCCUGUUCGAGCGUCAUUUCAACCAUCAAGCCCCGCGCUUGUGUUGGGGACCUGCGGCUGCCGCGGGCCCUGAAAACCAGUGGCGGGCUCGCUGUCACACCGGGCGUAGUAGAUUUUAUCUCGCUCAGGGCGUGCUGCGGGUUCCGGCCGUUAAAAAGCCUUUUUUACCCAAGGUUGACCUCGGAUCAGGUAGGAAGACCCGCUGAACUUAAGC
Molecule: unclassified non-coding RNA, 303 nt
Filed under: plant metagenome
Description: partial contains 5.8S ribosomal RNA, internal transcribed spacer 2, and large subunit ribosomal RNA
Rfam family: 5.8S ribosomal RNA (bases 1-105)
Source: RNAcentral